UAGCAUGCAAUGGUGUUUAACAUUGGAUUAUGCUGACCUGAGUGUUAAAGUUGCUGUUCCGCCAACGCUCCCAAAUGUAACUCUUGUAUAACAAAAUUAGAAACAUUAUUCAUAGGACUGUUAAACGACCAAAACGUUUCCAUAAAUAAUUCUUCAAUCAGUUGCCAUAUGACACAAAAGCAAGCAUUGAAUGUUUCUAUUUUUAUGCAAUUAAAUCUUAGCAUAAAAUUCACUUAUUUUUCAUGUCCUUCCAUGCAAUGGCUAUUGAUAAACCUCCCUCUCUAGAGUAUUACAGGGCCAGACUGAGGAUGAUGAGCACCCGAUCAUAUGGGUAUACCUUGCAUGUUUAAAUUCUGCUUGGAGGCUGUUCCAAUUAUCUACCACCCGCUCAGUAAGGUGCCUUCCGUUACAUCUAAGCCUCUGACCCUCUAGUUUUAGAUUAUGACCUCUUGUUCGAUCAUUUAUCCUGUAUUUCAAUAAACUUCCAUCCUGUA
This is a long non-coding RNA of Spea bombifrons (plains spadefoot toad), 494 nucleotides long. RefSeq lists it as uncharacterized. Lineage: Eukaryota; Metazoa; Chordata; Amphibia; Anura; Pelobatidae. The transcript has 2 exons. The record is from RefSeq and is a predicted model, not a curated record.